AGAACGAACGCUGGCGGCAUGCCUAACACAUGCAAGUCGAACGGGACCUUCGGGUCUAGUGGCGCACGGGUGCGUAACGCGUGGGGAUCUGCCCUUAGGUACGGAAUAACUCAGGGAAACUUGAGCUAAUACCGUAUAAUGACUUCGGUCCAAAGAUUUAUCGCCUAGGGAUGAACCCGCGUAGGAUUAGCUUGUUGGUGAGGUAAAGGCUCACCAAGGCGAGAUCCUUAGCUGGUCUGGAGAGGAUGAUCAGCCACACUGGGACUGAGACACGGCCCAGACCUCCGUACGGGGAGGCAGCGAGGUGGGGAAUAGUUAGGACAAGUAGGGCGAAAGGCCUGAUCCCAGAC
RNAcentral lists this ribosomal RNA (350 nucleotides) under uncultured soil bacterium. Its description in RNAcentral is "bacterial SSU rRNA". It matches the Rfam family "Bacterial small subunit ribosomal RNA", at positions 26 to 394 of the family's 1533-position model. The record is from RNAcentral.